RNAcentral lists this unclassified non-coding RNA (335 nucleotides) under soil metagenome. Its description in RNAcentral is "partial contains 5.8S ribosomal RNA, internal transcribed spacer 2, and large subunit ribosomal RNA". The stretch from base 1 to 120 matches the Rfam family "5.8S ribosomal RNA", at positions 35 to 154 of the family's 154-position model. The record is from RNAcentral.
GAUGAAGAACGCAGUGAAAUGCGAUAAGUAAUGUGAACUGCAGAAUUCAGUGAAUCAUCGAAUCUUUGAACGCACAUUGCGCCCGCCAGUAUUCUGGCGGGCAUGCCUGUUCGAGCGUCAUUUCAACCAUCAAGCCCCAGGCUUGUGUUGGGGACCUGCGGCUGCCGCAGGCCCUGAAAACCAGUGGCGGGCUCGCUGUCACACCGGGCGUAGUAGAUUUUAUCUCGCUCAGGGCGUGCUGCGGGUUCCGGCCGUUAAAAAGCCUUUUUUACCCAAGGUUGACCUCGGAUCAGGUAGGAAGACCCGCUGAACUUAAGCAUAUCAAUAAGCGGAGG